RNAcentral lists this unclassified non-coding RNA (404 nucleotides) under soil metagenome. RNAcentral's name for it is "partial contains 5.8S ribosomal RNA, internal transcribed spacer 2, and large subunit ribosomal RNA". The stretch from base 1 to 122 matches the Rfam family "5.8S ribosomal RNA", at positions 35 to 154 of the family's 154-position model. The record is from RNAcentral.
GAUGAAGAACGUAGCAAAAUGCGAUACUUGGUGUGAAUUGCAGAAUCCCGUGAACCAUCGAGUUUUUGAACGCAAGUUGCGCCCGAAGCCUUUUGGCCGAGGGCACGUCUGCCUGGGCGUCACGCAUCGCGUCGCCCCCCACAAUUCUCCGUAAAGGGAACGUGUGUUUUGGGGGCGGAUAUUGGUCUCCCGUGCUCAUGGCGUGGUUGGCCGAAAUAGGAGUCCUUUCGAUGGACGCACGAACUAGUGGUGGUCGUAAAAACCCUCGUCUUUUGUUUCGUGCUGUUGCUCGCAAGGUAAACUCUUUAAAAACCCCAAUGUGUCGUCUCUUGACGACGCUUCGACUGCGACCCCAGGUCAGGCGGGACUACCCGCUGAGUUUAAGCAUAUCAAUAAGCGGAGGA